AAAGGCGAAACGUAAUGUGAAUCGCAACUAACAGUGAAUCAUCGAAUCUUUGAACGCAGGCCGCACUUUGCAGUAUCACUCUGUGCUACUGCAAGGUAUUUACAUAUGAGUGUCAGCCCAAUAUAUCUUUGGUUCAUGAGGGGAUCCAUUCAACUUGUGAAUACACAUGUGUCAUGAGACAUAUCUCUUGAAACACUGCUGCAUGUGUCUGGCCUCAUAUGUGAAAGAUUACCCGCUGGAUUUAAGC
This 247-nucleotide unclassified non-coding RNA is filed under the name plant metagenome. Its description in RNAcentral is "partial contains 5.8S ribosomal RNA, internal transcribed spacer 2, and large subunit ribosomal RNA". The stretch from base 1 to 115 matches the Rfam family "5.8S ribosomal RNA", at positions 51 to 154 of the family's 154-position model. The record is from RNAcentral.